GCCCCAGUAGCUCAUCUGGUAGAGCGCAUGCCCCACACGCAGCGGUCCAGGCUCAAAUCCAGCCUGGGUCC
This is a non-coding RNA of Albula goreensis, 71 nucleotides long. The record is from the annotation of a GenBank genome assembly. Lineage: Eukaryota; Metazoa; Chordata; Actinopteri; Albuliformes; Albulidae.